CAUGGCCCUUACGCCUAGGGCUACACACGUGCUACAAUGGGGUGCACAAAGAGAAGCAAUACUGCGAAGUGGAGCCAAUCUUCAAAACGCCUCUCAGUUCGGAUUGUAGGCUGCAACUCGCCU
This 123-nucleotide ribosomal RNA is filed under the name Helicobacter pylori. RNAcentral describes it as "partial 16S ribosomal RNA". It matches the Rfam family "Bacterial small subunit ribosomal RNA", at positions 1194 to 1317 of the family's 1533-position model. The record is from RNAcentral. Lineage: Bacteria; Pseudomonadati; Campylobacterota; Epsilonproteobacteria; Campylobacterales; Helicobacteraceae.